UACGUAGGGUGCAAGCGUUGUCCGGAAUUAUUGAGCGUAAAGAGCUCGUAGGCGGUCUGUCGCGUCUGGUGUGAAAAUCCAGGGCUUAACCCUGGACCUGCAUCGGGUACGGGCAGACUAGAGUGCGGUAGGGGAGAUCGGAAUUCCUGGUGUAGCGGUGAAAUGCGCAGAUAUCAGGAGGAACACCAGUGGCGAAGGCGGAUCUCUGGGCCGUAACUGACGCUGAGGAGCGAAAGCAUGGGGAGCGAACAGG
RNAcentral lists this ribosomal RNA (253 nucleotides) under uncultured bacterium. RNAcentral's name for it is "partial 16S ribosomal RNA". It matches the Rfam family "Bacterial small subunit ribosomal RNA", at positions 524 to 776 of the family's 1533-position model. The record is from RNAcentral.